AUUAUACUCCCUCCGUCCCAAAAUACAAUUUGUUUUGACUUUUCUAGAUACAUAUGUUUUGUUAUGCAUCUAGAUAUACACCAUGUCUAGAUACAUAAUAAAACAUAUGUAUCUAGAAAAGCCAAAACAAAUUGUAUUUUGGGACGGAGGGAGUAGAAA
This is a non-coding RNA of Dichanthelium oligosanthes, 159 nucleotides long. The record is from Rfam. NCBI's taxonomy places the organism in Eukaryota, Viridiplantae, Streptophyta, Magnoliopsida, Poales, Poaceae.